Molecule: ribosomal RNA, 48 nt
Filed under: Chenopodium album (lamb's quarters)
Lineage: Eukaryota; Viridiplantae; Streptophyta; Magnoliopsida; Caryophyllales; Amaranthaceae
Source: RNAcentral
GCGAUCAUACCAACACUAAUCCACCGGACCCCCUCAGAACUCCGCAGU